Lineus longissimus is the source of this 1766-nucleotide long non-coding RNA. RefSeq lists it as uncharacterized. Lineage: Eukaryota; Metazoa; Nemertea; Pilidiophora; Heteronemertea; Lineidae. The transcript is spliced from 3 exons. The record is from RefSeq and is a predicted model, not a curated record.
GCCUGCAGAAUCGCACCACAAGAAACCAUCAGCACAAUGUCCCGACUCUCAAUUGUAAUCUUUGUGAUGGCUGUCCUCGUCACCUUAACACAGGCCAACUGGUAUGGAAAGCGAGAGGAUAACAAAUUCCAAGAUUAUCUCCAGGCGAUCAGAUCCUCAACCCAAGAUUCCACAUACGAUGCACAGCGAGUACUAAAAUCCAUUGCUUAUAUCGUCCAUGCAUGGGAGUCGAAGGAACGUGCUGUAGAGGAUGCCACUAGGUCAUCAAGCUAAGCGGCCAACAUGGCUGGUCUGCUUCCUCGAAGAGAGACCUCUGGUGGUGAGUGCGUGCAGCGAACAUUCAAGUGAAGUGUUACGAAAUCGGCCAUCACACUAUUUCAACAAAAGAUCAAUGAAAUCUUUCCUACACCUUCGAAUCCAGUCAUGUGUGCACACGGUACAUCUUCAGCAAAUAAAGACAACACACCAAGCCCUGUUGAAGACUUCAAAAGACACUCUCAGUUUCCUUGGUCGCAAGUGUAAACUGCUACGAUCUCUUGGUACCUUUUCCAUGUCAAUAAGAUCUAAGCGCAGCUCGGACCUUUUUCUAUCAUCUGACCUUAGUUCGACAGAGCUCACUGCUCCAAACCAGUUUGAACUGGAAGUGAUCUUCAGACCUAUUGUCUGUUCAUCCCUUGUUCAAUUGGAUACUCAUUCCUGAUCGCCAAUGUGGCGGUAAUUUGGCCAAUUUGUUUCUCUUUGUAGGGAGCUGAGGUCGAACUGACAUCAAAUAAUCAAUUGCUGUGCAAUUUCGUCCGGCAAAGUUGAGCAGUCAGAGCAACUUUACAGACUAUCGCUCCACAGCUCAUAAAACAAAGCACCUUUUACAAAGACACGAAAAGGUGCGGUACAAUCAGCCAAUCAGGCAAUCUGGGAAACUCCCCCAAAAUUAGCAUCGGUCAAUUGGCAAAACGACCGUCAUUCGUAAUCUGGUCUAAUUGCAUCAUGCCAUUGUCUACAGAGCGGAAAAAUGCUCCGGUGGAAAUGGUUGAUCCAAGAAUUACAGUUAAUCGCUCACUAUUACCGCGUAGUAUGGGUGCAUGAAGUUGCCCUUUUUGUUGAAAUAGCGAUAAUAAGAUCUUAGCAACGCAGUCCAGGAAUAUAGAAAAUGUACCCAGAGAUCGUGUAGACUCACUUUAAUUAGACCUGCUCUGAAACUUAGAAAAGCAUCUGGAAUAAAACACUGAACCAAUGUAUGUGAUCUUCCCUUGUUAUCGAUGAAUACAGCUAGACAAUACUCUUCCUACAAUAAUAGUAACCUUCUUUCAAAUUCAUCUUUUUGUCAUCGUCUUUCUGUGCAAACUCCUCUGGUCACUGCAUCAGAAGAGGCCAUUCAGGAAAGUGGGGGAGUUUCACCCCCAUUUAACUGUAAAUAGACUCUUCUUGUUAGGACAUUAGAGGAGUUCCCAUUUCAAUGUAUAGACUCUUCCAGUUAAUGCAUUAGAAGAGUCCAUUCAGGGAAUUGAGGGUAUAAAGGUUACUGUAGAAAUCUCAGGACAUUUAGGAAACCUAUCAUCACAGAAACCAAAAUAUUUAGGAAGCUUUAGUCAACCAUGUUUAUGGUAGGUAAAUUCAAUAGUAAUACAAUUACGAUGUACAUUCUCUCGAUCAUAUCCAUUCUCGAUGACACCAUCUUUUGUCAAUCCAAGAACAAGCUUGCCUGUUAUGUGAUGUCCGAUUGGCUAAUAAAUUCACCUGGAUUCACUCAUGGUUUAAAUUAUUAACAA